UACGUAGGGUCCAAGCGUUUGUCCGGAAUUAUUGGGCGUAAAGCGCACGUAGGCGGCUUUUCAAGUCGGAUGUGAAAUCCCUCGGCUUAACCAAGGAAGUGCAUCCGAAACUGGAAGGCUUGAGUACUUAAGAGGAUCGCGGAAUUCCCGGUGUAGAGGUGAAAUUCGUAGAUAUCGGGAGGAACACCAGUGGCGAAGGCGGCGAUCUGGGAAGAUACUGACGCUGAGGUGCGAAAGCGUGGGGAGCAAACAGG
RNAcentral lists this ribosomal RNA (254 nucleotides) under uncultured bacterium. Its description in RNAcentral is "partial 16S ribosomal RNA". It matches the Rfam family "Bacterial small subunit ribosomal RNA", at positions 524 to 776 of the family's 1533-position model. The record is from RNAcentral.